This 253-nucleotide ribosomal RNA is filed under the name uncultured bacterium. RNAcentral describes it as "partial 16S ribosomal RNA". It matches the Rfam family "Bacterial small subunit ribosomal RNA", at positions 524 to 776 of the family's 1533-position model. The record is from RNAcentral.
UACGUAGGUGGCAAGCGUUGUCCGGAUUUACUGGGUGUAAAGGGCGUGCAGCCGGAGAGACAAGUCAGAUGUGAAAUCCACGGGCUCAACCCGUGAACUGCAUUUGAAACUGUUUCCCUUGAGUGUCGGAGAGGUAAUCGGAAUUCCUUGUGUAGCGGUGAAAUGCGUAGAUAUAAGGAAGAACACCAGUGGCGAAGGCGGAUUACUGGACGAUAACUGACGGUGAGGCGCGAAAGCGUGAGGAGCAAACAGG